UGGCUCGAGCGAUUCGAGCUCGGCUCGACUCUCCCACCCAAUGUGUACCUACCUCUGUUGCUUUGGCGGGCCGCGGUCCUCCGCACCGGCGCCCUUCGGGGGGCUGGCCAGCGCCCGCCAGAGGACCAUAAAACUCCAGUCAGUGAACUUCGCAGUCUGAAAAACAAGUUAAUAAACUAAAACUUUCAACAACGGAUCUCUUGGUUCUGGCAUCGAUGAAGAACGCAGCGAAAUGCGAUAAGUAAUGUGAAUUGCAGAAUUCAGUGAAUCAUCGAAUCUUUGAACGCACAUUGCGCCCCUUGGUAUUCCGAGGGGCAUGCCUGUUCGAGCGUCAUUUCAACCCUCAAGCUCUGCUUGGUAUUGGGCUCCGUCCUCCACGGACGCGCCUUAAAGACCUCGGCGGUGGCGUCUUGCCUCAAGCGUAGUAGAAAACACCUCGCUUUGGAGCGCACGGCGUCGCCCGCCGGACGAACCUUUGAAUUAUUUCUCAAGGUUGACCUCGGAUCAGGUAGGGAUACCCGCUGAACUUAAGCAUAUCA
This 539-nucleotide ribosomal RNA is filed under the name Neofusicoccum parvum. Its description in RNAcentral is "eukaryotic LSU rRNA". The stretch from base 181 to 334 matches the Rfam family "5.8S ribosomal RNA". The record is from RNAcentral. Lineage: Eukaryota; Fungi; Ascomycota; Dothideomycetes; Botryosphaeriales; Botryosphaeriaceae.